Molecule: ribosomal RNA, 406 nt
Filed under: uncultured bacterium
Lineage: Bacteria
Description: partial 16S ribosomal RNA
Rfam family: Bacterial small subunit ribosomal RNA
Source: RNAcentral
GAUGAACGCUAGCUACAGGCUUAACACAUGCAAGUCGAGGGACCGGCGCACGGGUGAGUAACACGUAUCCAACCUGCCCUUUACUCGGGGAUAGCCUUUCGAAAGAAAGAUUAAUACCCGAUAUAAAGGAUGGGGAUGCGUUCCAUUAGGUUGUGGGGUAGGUAACGGCUGACCAAGCCUUCGAUGGAUAGGGGUUCUGAGAGGAAGGUCACCCACAUUGGAACUGCGAAACGGGCCAAACUCCUACGGGAGGCAACAGUGAGGAAUAUUGGUCAAUGAGCGCUAGCCUGAACCAGCCAAGUAGCGUGAAGGAUGAAGGCUUAUGGGUCGUUAACUUCUUUUAUAUAAGAAUAUGUAUUAUAUGAAUCAGGAUCGGCUAACUCCGUGCCAGCAGCCGCGGUAAUUC